GUAUAGGCUGUGUUGUCACGCCGGUGUCAGUCUGAUGAAGAUUGGCAUCAGGUGAAGUCUGGAGCAGGACUUCUGAGGCUUUCUAUCCUCCAUGCUGCUCACUAGAAAAGGGGCUGUGAACUGUGCUUUGGCUCUAGCAGACAGGAAGAAAUUCUGGCCCAGCUGGAAGUAGAAAGAGGGGAGUGAGUCUCCUGAGGACCAUCUCAGAGGCCCCGGGAUCACCCAAACAGUCCUCCAUGUGAAUCAAUCCCAUGAUGCAACAUGCCUCCCCAGCCCCCGCUCUGACGAUGAUGGCCACGCAGAAUGUCCCGCCCCCACCCUACCAGGACAGCCCACAGAUGACGGCAACCGCCCAGCCACCCUCCAAGGCCCAGGCUGUCCACAUCUCUGCCCCCUCAGCUGCUGCCAGCACACCUGUGCCCAGUGCCCCCAUCGACCCCCAGGCCCAGCUGGAGGCUGACAAGCGAGCUGUAUACAGAUGGUGAAGGCAAUCCAGGUCCUGAGAAUCCACCUUCUGGAGCUGGAGAAAGUCAAUGAACUCUGCAAGGACUUUUGUAACCGUUACAUCACCUGCCUCAAAACCAAGAU
Molecule: small RNA, 588 nt
Filed under: Pan troglodytes (chimpanzee)
Lineage: Eukaryota; Metazoa; Chordata; Mammalia; Primates; Hominidae
Description: processed transcript
Source: RNAcentral